Molecule: long non-coding RNA, 860 nt
Organism: Nelumbo nucifera (sacred lotus)
Lineage: Eukaryota; Viridiplantae; Streptophyta; Magnoliopsida; Proteales; Nelumbonaceae
Source: RefSeq, a predicted model, not a curated record
AUUCUCGAGAUGAGAAUCGCGUUUGGUGCAAACCCGUUGCCUGAUUCUCAUUCAAAUCAGGAUGAGAAAACUCAUCCCGGCAUGCGAUUCCAUGGAGUGAAAAGAUCUCACUUCACAGAAUCACGGUUCUAGCAAGCCUCCGAUUCUCGCCACGGAGCUUUAAGAUUUACAAACACUUGUGCGGGUUUCACAUGUGAAGGCAGGGGUGUAAGCAUAAUUUCCCUAACAUUAAUCUCAACUGGUUGAGAAAACCCUACCGAGCUCUUCUUUCUCUUCUCCCUUCUUUCAACAGUUCUCCCUUCUUCUCCCUAGCAUCCCUUCGACUUUGUACUCCAGAAGGAUUCCGGUGCCGGUCGCUUCACCAGUUCCAGAUCCAGUGUUCUAUGUCAAAUUCCUGUUCUCUGGUGCCGAUCAAGUUUCAGGUAACAAUUCGCGAUCUAUGCUCCCAAGGGGCGGAAGAUCCAUAUACAGGAACAUGAGCUCUGGAACUGCAGAUCGAAUCAUAGAAACAACAAAGCCAAGCAACAUUACAGAGCAGCAGCAGCAGAAGCAGCACUAGAUUGAUAAUUCACCAUUGAAGGAAUGAGAAAUGAACAUGCAUUCUGAGCCUCAAUUGUUAAUAAAAGUGCUCCUCUCUCUCUCUCUCUUCCCCAUUUGUGUGUGUGUGGGGUCCACUAGUAUGGUCGCCAUAUGAGUUCAUAUAUAGAAGACUGUAACGAGAUAUUAAAGAAUACAAUACAUGAUGACUGAUGAGCUAGCUCCUCCAUCUAUUGUCGGCCUCAAAUUAUCAUGACAUCCCAAAAUUAUAUCUGGAACUGGUAUUAACGAUCCUUUAUGUCCAAAAGCCUCUCACUUUUUUG